GCAACUACAAUUCAAUGAAACAGACUAGAAGCAUUAAUAUUUUUUAUUCAUUUACCAUCUCCAUGGAUCAAGAAUAAAACAAUGGACUCAAGAAUCCUCCUUUUGCCAGUUUCCAUGACUGGCGUGGUGCAUCUAAACUCAACCAAAUCCAAAUGUCCCAAAUUUCUACUCAAUACAUGACAGCACAAGCAAAGAGUGCUCUUUCUUACCCUUUUCUCCUCUUUGGACCAAGUACAAAAUCAUCACUAUCUCGUUCUUUGAUUUACUACACGGAACUUUGAUGCUUGCUGCAGCACUUUGGAACUCAGAGGUUUCUUUAGACUAGCUGUGGCAGAGACUUAACCUGUUUCCCCCUGGGAAUUUGAUUUUACAUUCCUGUUCGCCAGCGCCUUCUUUGCUCUCUCGGAUGACAAACGGAGCAUUUACCAUCAACCUGCACUUUUGACUCAAGUGUAUGUACUUCAACAUUCUAGUAGAGUUGAUUUAUUAAUUGUAGGAGACAUUCCAAAUACACGAAUCAUGGAAAGAGGUAUAUAAAGGUAGAAUUUACGGGGAACCAAAAAGUGAAAAAGAACAUGUCUAAAAUCACUAUGCGGUUGAAAUCAAGCAAAGACAUAAAUUAAGCAUUAACAUGAUCUGUGAGGUAUGUAGUAAAAGUAUAAACAUAUAAAUCAAAAGCAAAGAUCACAGAAUUCCUCCUCCUAGAGCAAAUAUUGUAUUCUAAAACAUCAAUAUCUGGUUCACCAUAAAACUCAUGUUCACUGAAUCAGGCUACUUUUUAAGUAAAUUCAAGCUCACGAAAAAAUGAAAACAAAAGAACCAAGACUAUGCGAUAUUAUCCCACUAAAGGUGUUUCAAUACUCCAGUCCCACUUGGUUUCGGUCCUCGUAUUAAUUACACUUUACAACUUGUGAGCUAGUUUGGAUCAAACAGUUGCUAAAAGAACUAAACUUUGGAGAAAUCGAUAAGAUGAAACUUGUGUGUCGUAAUCAAGCGGCCCUUCAUAUCGUGUUCAUCUAGUAUUUUAUGAAAAGACUAAGCACAUAGAGAUUGAUUGUCGCUUUGUCAGAUAUUCUCAAGAGAUAUUGUUAUAAAAUUUGUGAAGUAAAGUCAUCAACUUGCAACAUCAAGUCCCUCAUCGGUCCUCGUAUUAAUUACAUUUGUAACAAGCUAGGUACAUAUGAUUUAUAUGCACCAUGAAGAGUAUUAGAAUAUGAGUAGGAAUAUAAAUAGUAUAUCAGAAUAUGAGUAGAAAUAAGAAUAGGAUAUUAGAAUAUAAGUAGGAACAGGAAUAAUAUACAAAACCCCACUUGAAAAAGAAUUGUAAUGUAGUGUCUAUAAAUAGGGUCUCAAUGUAAUUAUAUAGAUACACAUAUCAAUAGUCAUAUUUUUUUCUCUAUUAUUUCUCACACUUAUCAACUUCAAUUGACUCUUGUUGGCAUUCCUAAAAGACGUCUUCAAGUGAGAGAACUUAUAAAUUUGGCUUCAGAUAAUUUUAAUGGGCAAAAUGGUCUAAUGGACCCUUAUACUUAUAAGAGUUUGUAUUUUAGACCCUCUUACUCACCCCUUUGCCAACUGAACCCCUAAACUCAAUAGAACUCAACAUUUUAAACCCUCUUUUCAUCUAGUCAGUGGUGUGUGUAAUACAACCGCUCCACGUUAAUUUCCACGUCAUUUUUAAAUGCUAUGUUAAAUUCUACGUCAUUUUAAAAUGCAAAGUUUGAAUAUCUUUGAUAAAUCCACAAAAAUCCAUUUAUUGCUCUUCAAACUUAAACUUCAAGCUUAUCCACGAAGUGCUUUAAUUUUUCAAUAUCCACUAUCACUCAUUUUCAAUUCAAGUUCAAAUUUUAACCCCAAAAAAAUGAAAAGUUUGAAUUGGGAAAGUGAUUUGCAAAAAGAAAAAUAAAAAAAUGAAUCUCAAAUAAAGGGGAAGGAAAUUUCAAAUAAGGAAGAUAUAUUGUUAUUUUCUUUUGGGUGCGAUGGGGGUGGGGGCUGAAGAAGAAGAGCAGUGGAGUGGGUGAUGUGGACGGGGGUAGGGAAGACGUGGUGAGUACAAAGAAGUACAGAGAGUGGGAUAGUUAAUAAAAGAAUAGUGGGUGGUUUGGUGAAGAAGAUGAACAAUAGGGAUGGAGAAUAAGGAAAAAAAAAGUUGGAGAGUGGGUGGGUAGGAGAGUGCCAUAGGAGGUGUGUGUAGUUGGGGGUGGGGGGUGGGGGGGAGGAAGAAGUUUAUUUUUUCCUUUUUAAUUUUUUUUUAUAAUUUUACUAUUAAAAUGGUGUUCACUUGCUCCUAAACGCGUGUAGUCACACGCUUUGUCCAACUCAGCCAUCUUAAUACCACAUAAGCUUGGUCAAUGACCAGAGAGAUUUAAAAUAUUAGAGUUUUAUUGAGUUUAGGGGUUCAGUUGGCAAAGAGGUGAGUAGGAGGAUCUAAAAUACCAACUCAAACAAGUACAAGGAUUCACUAGACCAUUUCGCCAUUUUAAUGUGUUGGGAACUUCUUAUAAAUGUAUGGAUGAAUAUCGAGAAUAAAAAAAAGGGCAGCCCGAUUCACUAAACCUCCCGCUAUACGUAGGUCCAGGGAAAGGCCCCACCACAAGGGUGUAUUGUACGCAGCCUUACCUUGCAUUACUGCCACAGGCUAUUUUCUAGACUUAAACUUGUGACCUCCUAGUCACAUAGCAGCAACUUUACCAGUUACUCCAAGGCUCCCCUUCUAAGAUGAAUAUCGAGAAUCUAAAAAAAAAAAAAAAAAAAUCAAGAGGCUUUUGAUAUGGUGAGCUUAAAAAAUGGUAGAGGCUUGCAUCAAAAACUUGAUAUUUCUAGAGCUAGUGACCACACAUCAAAUUUUUUAAUUGUUUUACUCUUUAGUUUAAUAUAAUUAUAGAUAUACUUGAUAAUAUUGUUGAAACUGCACAUUCUAUGGAAGAAAAAUCCAAGACAACAAAAUAUAUUAGAGUUGCUCAAACGUAUAAGGUUGCAUUCAUGCUAUCCUCUUGAAUUUCGUUUGGCGAAAUUUGCUUUGCUUCUGCCAGUUGCCAUUGCAUCCGUUGAAAGAACUUUUUAGGCAAUGAAGUUAUUAUGGUUCCUUUAUGGAAAAAGAUGUGUUUAGUGAUGUUUCAACUGAUGAUUUUGUUUUAUUUUUUCAAGCAAUGAAACUUUGUCGAGUGGUAUGUAAAUGUCCUUGGGAAGUAUUAGCAGUGAUAUCUUUUUGGAGUUUGUACUUAACACCCUAGAUAUAGAUUGAUACAUUGUGAAGGCAUAACUUUUUGCUCUACUUAGCACCGUAGUUCUAGAUUGACACAUUGUAAAGGGCUAAUGUUUUGCAUUACUAAAAUUACUCCUGUUUGUUCCAAGUAGUUUGUGACAGAACUAAUAUUUUGUAUAUAUAGACUAUAUACUAUUGCAUCCAUUGAAAUUGUGGUUUGUUGGCUUAUUUGCACGUUUAUAUUUUUAUUUUUCGAAUCCUCUGAGAGAAAAUUCUGGAUCCGCCAUUGCCUUAAAAACAAACAAAUCCCAUUUUUAUCUUCCUUCAACUCUCGCAACCUUCUCUUGGCAACUUCAAUAAGUAGCAUGGUAUUGGCAAUAUCUACUCUUUUUUUGUAAGCAUGCACUAAGAUUGUUUGUUAUUCCUAAAAUCUUUCAUCAAAUGCAAGAUGAAUGUAACCUCAUAGGUUUGAGUAGCUUUAAUAUAUCUUGUCACCCUGGAUCUUUCAACCAAAGAAUAUGCAGUUUCAACAAUAUUAUUAAAUAUAUCUAUAAUUGUAUCAAACUUAAGAAUAGGACAAUAAAAAGAUUUGAAGUGAGAUGCCCAACGAGUAUCCUAAGCUCUAGAAAUAUUAUGUUAUUGAUGCAAGCCUCUUCCAGUUUUAAGCUCACCCAAAAAAAGUUUCUAACACAUUAAAAAUAUAUGAAACCAAGUUCUCACACUUGAAGACAUCUUUUAGAAACACCAAUAGGAGUUAACUAAAAUUGAUGAACAAAACAAAGAAUGGAAUAAGUCGAUCUAUUUACUUUCUGAAUCAACAUGUUAAGACAUUGAUAUCACAUUGCAUAUUGCUUGUUCCAUUAUAGAAUUGUCAUGCACAAAAAUAAACUCAAGGAAUUUUGAGAAAGAAAAUAAAACACUAGUACUUUGACAUGAACAAUGCCAAGAAAUCUCUCUAUCACAAAUCUUCUCCCAUCAACAUAAACAAAUGUCAUUUGCUCCUUGUGUGAAAUAUCAAAAGAUUCAUCAACAAAUAAGGAAAAAGGAAAAGUAGUCUCCAUUUAGUUCCCUUUUAUAAUAGCCUUAAUUAUUUCAGUUUUGCAAGCAAUCACAAUUUCUUUUUGAAUCAUUAGACAAAUCUUUUUAUCAUUUUGAAGAGCAUUUUCCAACACAAAACUACGAAUUUCAUCACACUUUUGAGCAUAAAAUGAAUCUGUUAAGUGAUAAAUGACUCCAACAUAUCAAUCCUUAAUUCGCAAGAAGCUUUACUAUAUCAAUCGAAGCUAUUAAGCAAAUUCGAUGUCCAUGCUUAUCUUGAUUAGAUUGUUUCUCAAAUGAAGCAUCAAUAGAUUGUUGUUGCCGCAUUAGAUACAUUUCGUUUUUGUCUGAUUAUAGAUGCUAGUAGUCCCACCCUCAUGUGUUUCCAAACUAGCCUUUUUGUUCCAACUCCUAAAACCCAAACUCGAAAAUACUUCACCUCCACCUUCACGAUUGUUAUUUCCCUUUAAUAAAUAAUAAUACAAAAGAAGAAAUUGCACCUUUACUUACACUAUACUCUAACAAGGGAAUUCAUCAAACCAUUUACCAUUAAAACGACACUUAUUUCUAGAAAUAUUCGUCUGAGGAAACUCUUUUCAUUGAGGUUGGCUAGGUUUUUCUGAAGAUAAGCUCUACUAAUCAUGUCACAAUGAUUUGGAUAAAAUUCCAAGAUUUGAGUUUUUUCACCCGGAUCAACAGCCAUUAAACAACUUAAACCAAAUUCUAGAAGAAUGCGAUGGUACUUCUUAGUGAUUCACAUUUUCUUCUGGCAUAAUACAAAAGCAUGCCCUUAACUUGACCUCGGUUCACAACGAUGACCUCAAAAUUUGGAUGUGCACAAGUAGACACUUAAACUUGCAUAAAGUUGAACAAAUAGACACAUGCAUCCUAUGUGACAUAAUACAUGUUGGACGCCAUGUAGGACCUGAAUUGGCCACGUAAGAUGCCACAUAGGAUAUAUGCAUGUACUUGUUCAACUUUAUACAAAUUUAAGUGUCUACUUGUGCACACCCAAAAUUGGAAGGACACAUUUAUGUAUUACGCCGUUUCUUCCCAAUUAGGUUGACUGUGAGCAACAAAACUUGAAUUUGAUACCUAAGAAAAAUACUUUUUCAUUGACUUUUGAAUCUAUAUAAGAUAUAAAAAGUGUAUAGUUUAUAAAUUAAUCAUAAGUCUGACCAAAUUUGUCUGUGGUUCCAGACUUCCAAUUAAAUAGUAACAGUUUCAAUUCUCUACUCUCUACUAAACAACUGGGAAACAACAACGGUGGCUGCUAAAGUGACGGUAUUAGGCAACAACACUAUAGCAUAGACCUUCAAAACUAGUACAGCCUUUAAAAAAUGGAGACUCAUUUGUUAUGUAAAACUUUUGCUGCAAAAUCUGACUUUAAUUUCAAGAAAAUUGAAAGGAGGGAAAGGGUUUUAACUUAAGGUGAAGAAAAUGAUUCUAGGAAUUGAGUCUUUUAAUUUUCGGGAUUAAAAAUCCCUAUUCCAACACUUUUUUUUUAAAUAGUUGCAGUACGUAGUCCAAUGGCAGACCCACAUGGAGCUCGGGGGUUUCAUCCGAACCCCUCACUCGAAAAAUUAUAGUGUAUAAAAAAAAAAAAGGGCAGCUCAGUGCACUAAAGCUACCGCUAUGCGCGGUGUCCGGGGAAGGGCCCCACCACAAGGAUGUAUCGUACGCAGCUUUACCUUGCAUUUCUGCCAAACCUAUUUCCAAGGCUUGAACCCAUGACCUCCUGGUCACAUGGCAGCAACUUUAACACAUAUUGUGUGUAUAUGUGGAUUAAAUUUGCAGGUUAGGUAUAUAUCACAUAUUGAACCCCCUCAACACAGCAUUAGUGCACAGUUCAACGAUUAAGGGGGUUCAGAUUUCCCCCAAAUGUUACGAGUCAAAUCUCGUUGGGUGGAUAGGCCUGUGAAGUUGUGUUAUCUACUAAUAUUACGCCAUUAUUGACAUCACCUUCUUUCCCAUUUUUCCUGUUAAAAUUACUCUUUGUCAACUUUUUCAAAUAGUUUUAUAUUACAAGUUUAUGGGUUUCUUUAAAAUGCUAAAUUAAUAUAUAAUAAAAAUUUAGUCAAUAAAUUGACUUCAAAGUAGAUAGUAUUAUAUAUUUAGUAAACUUUUUAAUAAAAUUAUUAAAUUUAAGCUCGCUUAUAUAUGAUCCGACCCGUUCAUAUCUAAUUCGACCUUUAAUUUGCGAACACUAUUAGCAUGUUUACUUACUUUUUUCGAAUCCCCUGAACGAAAAUUCCAGAGUGUAGCCUACGGGAUUCGAACCUAAAACUCUGGGGUUCAUUAAGAAGGCCCAAUAUCAUUGAGCUAUCUUUCGUUUUUGGUUCAUGAGGUUAAAAAGUAAUGUAUGAACAUAAAUAUAGAAAAGCUAACCUAGAAUGUGCACUGGUUCAUUUCAUAGGCAUACUUUAUAUACAAUGUAUUUUUUUAUCGAGGGGGUUCAAGUGAAUCCCCCACUGCACUGCUAGGGUGGCUAUUGGGUUGGUUGGGUCAAAUUUGGAUAGGGUAAAACGGCUUAAGAUAACAAAUGGGUCGAGACCCAACCCAAUCCAAAUUUGCUUGGGUCAGGUCAGGUAAUCGGUUAUAACCCGACCCGCACAAUUUUUACCAAGCUUAUUUGCUUUAUUUACUCUUUUAUAAAUUUUUAAUACUUAAUAAAAUUAUUUUUUCUUUAUUAUGGAAAUAUAUAAAAUAACAAAUAAAAAAUUAUUUAAAAAUAUAUUGACAAGAUUUCUCAAAAACCAAUUUGGGCUACAUAUCAACCCAAUUUUUUAAGGAGAAAUUUCAUUAUAUACAAAAAAAAUAUAUAGUUUACAACAAAAAUAGCCAAAUUUUUAUUUACAACAAAAAUAACCAUUAGGCCAUUUUUUUUCCUUUUCCUUUUCUUUCGCAAUAGUAAUUUUAAUAAAAGAAACAUUUUUAUUGUUUUUUUGUUGCAAUUUUCUUCAUCAAAAAAAACUUUUUCCUUUUUUUUUAAGAACCUUUUUCGUACAACCUUUUAUCAUGUAUCAAUAUUGUAUAAAUGGUGUAUAAACAUGUAUAUAUGAAAUAUAAAAAGUUAUGUAGUGUGUAUGUAAUGUAUCGAUAUAGUAUAAAUAAUGCACAAACGUGUAUCAAUAUUGUAUAAACGAUAAUCGAUAUUGUACAAAUAAUGCACAAAUAUGUUCGACAUAGUAUAAAUGGUGUAUAAACAUUUAUCGAUAUUGCACAAAUAGUGCACAAACGUGUAUCCAUAUUGUGUAAAUGUGUAUAAACGUUUAUCAAUGUUGUAUAAAAGUUAUGUAUCAAUAUUAUAAAAACGGUAUAUAAACGUGUAUUGGUACAUAUCAACAUACACUGAUUGUCUCUAGACCCCACAAUUCACCUAAACAAUUCCAUUUCUCCUUCACACCAUUAAUACCAAACUACUCCACUCCAAUUCUGAUCCAUUGGAGAAACACACAAACAACAACACUACACAAAAAAUCAGCCAAAAAGAUUCAAUUCACCAAUAUACUCCCUGCGGGUCACAUUAGGAUAUAUGAAAACAUAAAUAUCCCUUCAUUAGAAGUCAAAAUUUUUAGAUGGCAUGGUAUACACCAAUUUACAAAACACAAUAUUAUUACUAUUCGAUGGAUUUGUGUGCCACCCGUUAAAUGGCUUCUCUUGUUUCUUUUCAUUCUUUCUGAAACUGAAUCAGCCAGUAAUAUUCCUUCACUCCAUUUGUGAGAAAUAAUGGAGAAAAUAUUAUUGAAUUGUAUGUCACAACAUUAGACUCUUUUUUCAACUAGGAUUCUAUAUCUAAGUUGAUAGGACUUUCCAAUAAUAUUGUCGCACCCGUGGCGAAUCCUUCAAAAAUACACUAUUUUUUAAGGAUCUGACACACACUCGAAGACAUUUUUGAAGAGUCCGAGCAACUUACAACAACAACAUGCCCAGUGUUAUCCCACAAAGUGAGGUCUGAGGAGGGUAAUGUGUACGCAGUCCAAAUCAUUACCUCAGAUGAAGUAGAAAGGUUUUCGAUAGACCCCUGGCUCAGGACAGAGAACAGUAUAACAAACAAAAAACAUAAAACAUAAUAAUAUAAACACAUUGUUAUCUAAUUAUGACAACAAGACAACCACAAGAUAAUACUAUAAAUUAUCCAUUCGAAAUCAUAGAUAUCACUGAAACACCAUGAACAAGAAACUCCAGACACAGAUACAAACAAAACACUCUUCCCUACUGUUACGGACGAACUCCUACCCACUAAUACUCUACCCUAAUUCGCAUCCUCCAUACCUUCCUAUUAAGAGUCAUGCCCUUCAUAAGUUUUAACCACUCCUUAUUAUGCCUAUCACCUCCCUCCAACAUUUCUUCGACCUACCUCUACCCCAUCUAAAAUCAUCUAUAGUCAGUCUCUCAUAUCUCCGUAUUGGAGAAUCUGUGCACCUCCUCAUCAUAUGCCCGAACCAUCGUAACCUCACUUCCCGCAUCUUUUCCUCUACCGAAGCCACUCCCACCUUCUCCCGAAUAUAUCUCAUUUCUAACCCUCUCCCUCUUAGUAAGUUUACACAUCCAUCGCAACAACCUCAUCUCCACCACCCGUCAACUUUUGGAUGUGAGAGUUCUUAACUAGCCAAUACUCUGCUCCAUACAACAUAGUCGAUCGACUGUCACUCUGUAGAACUUACCUUUAAGUUUAGGAGGCACCUUCUUAUCACACAAGACUCCCGAAGUAAGCCUCUAUUUCAACCACCCUGUACCAAUACGGUGCGUGACACCCUCAUCAAUCUCACCAUUUUCCUGAAUCAUAGACCCAAAAUACUUGAAACUUUCACUCUUCUGAAUGGCCUGAGAAUCCAGCUUCACAACCACGUCAGCCUCGUGUGACAAAUCAAUAAACUUACAUCCCAGGUACUCUGUCUUGGUUCUGCUCAACCUAAAUUCUUUAGACUCAAGGGUCUGUCUCCAAAUCUUCAGUUUAUCAUUAACUCCUCCCGAGUCUCGUCAAUCAGUAGAACAUCAUCAACAAAUAGUAUACACCAAGAAACCUCCCCUUGAAUACACUGUGUCAAAACAUCUAUCACCAAAGCAAAUAAAAAUGGGCAAAGAGUCGAUCCCUAGUGCAAACUUGUCAAAAUAGGAAAGUGCUCUGAAUCUCCUCCUACUGUCCUCACAAAAGUCUUCGCCCCAUCGUACAUGUCCUGAAUCGACCUAGUGUAUGCCACGAGCAUCCCUUUAACUUCCACAAAAUCUCUAUGGGACUGUGUCAUACGCCUUCUCAAGAUCAAUGAACACCAUACGCAAGACCUUUUUCCUCUCCCUAAACUGCUCCACAAAUCUCCUCACGAGGUGAAUGGCCUCAGUAGUUGAGCGACCUGACAUGAAAUCGAAUUGAUUCUUGAAAAUAGUCACAAUCCUCCAAAGCCUCUACUCUACCGUCCUUUCCCAAACCUUCAUAAUAUGACUCAACAACUUGAUACUCCUAUAGUUGUUGCAACUCUGAAUAUCCCCCUAGUUUUUAUAUAAGGGAAUCAUUGUACUCCAUCUCCAAGCUUCGGGCAUCUUUGCUGCCUUAAAAAUGAUGUUAAACAACCUUAUUAGCCACUCCAGACCUGCCCUGUCAGUGCUCUUCCAAAAAUCCACCGAAAUCUCGUCUGGCCCAGUCGCCCUACUCCUACGCAUCCUAUUAAAAACCCCCUAGACCUCCUCAACCUUGAUACACCUACAAUAACUAUAAUCAUGACACCUCUAUGAGUUCUCAAAGUCCCCCACAUGAAACCUUUGUCUCCCUCAUCGUUCAAAAGUUUAUGAAAAUAUAACUGCCAACUCUUCCUAAAGAGGGCAUCCUCAACCAACACUUUACCAUCCUCUCUUUUGAUGCACUUCACUAGAUCAAAGUCACGAGCCUUCCGCUCCCUGGCCUUCGCAAGCCUAGACAACUUCUUAUCCCCGCCUUUCUCCUUUAAAGUCACAUACAAACUCUCAAAAGUUGUUGUCUUAGCCGUCAUAACGCUAACUUAGCCUAUCUUCUACCUAACUUAUACUCCUGCCUAUUCGUCUACCUCUCAUCAUUCUUGCUCUCAACCAACUUAACGUAUAUCACCUUCUUAGUCUCCACCUUCUUCUUAACUUCUUAGUUCCACCACCAGUCCCCCGGUGCUUGCCAGAUCGGCCUUUUGAGACACCCAACACCUUUCUAAAGGUCUCCAUAAUGCAACUGGCAGUUGUCUCCCACAUACUAUCCACAUCCCCUCUCUCUCCCAAGCCCCCGUAGUCGUCAACUUCUCCCCUAUUUUCAAAACACUAGCCAAAGUCGAGCUACCCCACUUAAUCGUGGGCCGAUCCUCCACACCCCUCUUCUUUCUACCCUUUUUGAUUACCCAAUCAAUCGCCAACGACUUAUGUUGGGUCGAAAGAUUCUCGCUAGGUAUAACUUUACAGCCUUUACAUAGCACUCUAUUACCUUUCCUAAGGAUAAAAAAAAUUAUCUGGGUCUUGACCAUCGAACUACGAAAGGUAAUAAGGUGCUCAGUUCUAUAUAACAUUCCGAUUCCUACUCAUAUUCUAACACUCCCCCUCAAGUUAGUGCAUACAAGUCAUAUGUGUCAAGCUUGUUACAAAUGUAAUUAAUACGAAGAUCAAUGAGAGACUUGGUGAAAAUAUCUGCAAGCUGAUCACUCAAUUUCACAAACUUUGUAAUAAUAUCUUUGGAAAGUAUCUUCUUUCUCACAAAGUGACAAUAAAUCUCAAUGUGUUUGUACUCUUAUGAAAUACCGAAUUUUAUGCAACAUGAAGAGCCGCUUGGUUGUGACACACAAGUUCCAUUUCACUAAUUUUUCCAAAUUUUAACUCUCUCAACAACUGUUUGAUCCAAACUAGCUCAUAAGUGGCUAGCGUCAUUGCUCGAUAUUCUGUUUCUACGCUAAAUAGAGCAACCACACUUUGUUUCUUACUCUUUCAUGACACCAAAUUACCUCCUACUAAAACACAAUAUCCUAAUGUAGAAAGUCUAUCACAAGGUGAUCCUGCCUAAUUAGCGUCAGUAUAUCUAACAAAUGGCUCAUGACCUCGAUCCUUAAAUAGUAGUCCUUUACCUAGUGCCGACUUAAUAUAUCACACAAUGAGAACACCUGAAUCUUAAUGACUAUCACAAGGAGAAUCCAUAAAGUGAAUUACAACACUCAUAGGAUAUGAAAUGCCAGGUCUGGUCACUGUGAGAUAAUUCAACUUACCAAGUAAAUACCUAUAUCUUCCGGGAUCAUUGAGUGGCUACCCCUAUCCUGGCAGGAGUUUAGUAUUCGAAUCCAUAUGAAUGUCAACAAGUUUACGUCCCAUCAUUCUUGUCUCCUUGAGAAAGUUUAAGGCAUUCUUCCGUUGUGAAAUAAUAAUACCUGAUCUAGACUGAGCAACUUCAACACCUAAAAAAUACUUAAGUGUGUCAAGGUCUUUAGUCUGGAAAUGAUGAAAAAGGUGUUGCUUCAAACAAACUUCUGAAUUACUGUACUGAACUUUUCAAACCAGGCUCGAGGAGAUUGUUUUCGACCAUAAAGUAACCAACACAAUCUACACACCAAACUAGACUCCUCCUAGCAACAAAACCAAGUGGUUUCUCCAUAUAAACUUCCUCCUCAAGGUCACCAUAGAGAAAAACAUUCUUAAUAUCCAACUGAAAAAGAGGUCAGUGUCGAACAAAACUAUAGAUAGAGAAAACGAAUAGAAGCUAUUUUAGAGAAAGUAUCAUUAUAAUCAAGCCCAAAAUCUGAGUGUACCCCUUGGUAAUACGGCGAGCCUUAAGUCGAUCAAUUUGGUCGUCCGAACCAACUUUCACAGCAUAAACCCAGCGACAACCAACGAUUGAUUUACCUGAAGGGAGAGGAACAGCUCCAAGUACCACUCGUAUGUAAAGCAGACAUUUUAUCAAUCAUAGCAUGCCGCCACCGCGGAUGAGAAAGUGCUUCUUUUGUGGACUUACGGAUAGAGACAGAGGACAAAGAUGAUAUAAAGGCAUAAUGUGGUGAUGAUAGACGAUGAUAAAUUAAAAGUGUAUAAUGAGGAUUAGUAUUACGAGUGGACUGUAUACCUUUUCAAAGUACAAUCGAAGGAGAUAAGUCUGUAAUAGGUGUAGGGUCAGGUGUAGGGCGAGAAUCAUCUGAUCCUGAUGUUGUGCGUGGAUGAUGAUGAUAAGUCAGGAGUGGUGGCACUGUAGAUAGAGUUAUAGAAGGCAUUGUAAAUUCCUCAAAAGACUGUGCAUGUAAGACUGGUGGCACUAUGGAAGAAAAUGUGGAAGUAACGGCAGGAUCCUCAAAAGUGGAAAUAGGUAAGACCUCGGGCAUGUUAGGAUGAUCAGAAUCAGAAAAAGAUGUAAAGUAAGAUUGAGACUCAAGGAAUAUGACGUCAAUUGGCAUAAGCUAUCGUGGAAGACCAUGUGAGUAGCAACGACAUCCUUUUAUACUCGAGAAUAGCCAAGAAAGACACAUUUGAGAGCAUGAGGGAUUAAUUUAACUUUUCCUGUGGUGAAGUUAUGAACAAAACAUGUACCCCAAAGACACGAAAGGGAUAAGAGUAGAGAGGUGACUAAGCAAACAAUAUUGAAUCAGGAAUUUGAUUUUGAAUGAAAGAUGAGGGCAUCCAAUUAAUUAAAUAGCAAGAUGCAUUAACUGCAUCACUCCAAAAACAUUGUGGAACAUGGGAAUGAAAGAGAAGAGUGUGAGCAAUCUCGAUAAGGUGCAUGUUCUUCCUCUUUGCUACUCCAUUCUGUUAAGGGGUAUACGAACAAGAAGUUUGAUGAAUAAUUCCUUAAUGAGUCAUAUAUUGCUGAAAUUAUGAGGGCAUAUAUUCUAAGGCAUUAUCACUACGAAAGGUACGAACAGAGACACCGAAUUAAGUUUGUAUUUCAGCAUAAUAACUCUUGAAUAUAGUAAACAAUUCAGAGAGAUCUUUCAUUGAGAAAAAUUCAUGUCCAUCUUGAAAAGUCAUUUAAUGAAGCUAACAAAAUAACGAAACCCUAAGGUAGAACUGAUUCUACAAAGAACCCAAAUAUUUAGAGUGAACUAAGGAAAAGAUAGACUCUGCACGAUUCUUAGUACUACGUUGAAAAGUAGUUCAAGUGUGAUUCUCAAGUUGGCACAACUCACAAUCUAAUGUCGAUAGACUAGACAAAGUAGGCAUCAUCUUUUGUAGUUUGGACAAACUAGGAUGUCCUAAACUAGGUAGAACUGAUUCUACAAAGAACCCAAAUAUUUAGAGUGAACUAAGGAAAAGAUAGACUCUGCACGAUUCUUAGUACUACGUUGAAAAGUAGUUCAAGUGUGAUUCUCAAGUUGGCACAACUCACAAUCUAAUGUCGAUAGACUAGACAAAGUAGGCAUCAUCUUUUGUAGUUUGGACAAACUAGGAUGUCCUAAACGUUUGUGAAUUAAGUCCAAAGAAUCUGUAGUUAGACAUGCUAUGACGAGUUAGGAGAGUCAGGGUAGUAAAGGCCUUGUGAUUUAUAUCCUACACCAAUUGUUUGUCCCGUACUACGGUCAUGCAUGAUAAAAGAGUAUGCCAUAAUUUAUGGCACGAGUUAACCGACUGACCGAUGCAAGAUUAAAAGGACAGACAAGGACAUAAAGAACAAAAUUUAAAGUGAAAGAGGAUAGUGGAGUAGCUUGUCUUACUCCUUUUGCUUUAGUUUGGUUACCAUCGACUAAAGUGACAGUUGGAAGAGAUUGUGAAUAAACGAUAUUUGAUAGAAGUGAUUUAUCACCAGAAUGUGAACAGAAGCGCCAAAGUCCACAACUCAUGAUCCAAAGGCAGGAGAUUGUGCAGUUGAGACUACUGAUAAGGAUAUCUGCUUACUUGCUCGAUAUUGGAGAUACUCAUUAUAUUCCUUUUACAGAUAAAUAUUCAUUGAUUACAUGUGGUGUUAGACUGAGAAACAUGAGCAUUUUUAGGUGGUCAACCAUGCAAAGAAUAACAUAUUCCACGAGUAUGUCCAAGCCUAUUACAAUAACUAUACUUGGGUCGAGAUUUCCAAAACGACCUCCCCCUCAUCGAUUUUUCAUGGACUGGGACGUUUGAUUUUGUGAUCUCCUCAUUAAGGGUUCGGAAGUAAUCAUAAGGCUUGAACUUCCAAUUCCCGUAUUUUUGGAGCCAAAAGUAUCACACCCAAAAAACAUUGUGAAAUCAGAAUUUUGUAGCCAAGACAUUCUAGAAAUCUGAAAAAAAUAUUGAUGUCACCGAAAAACUCUGAAAGUCACUAAAACCCUAACUCCAAAGGUUUAAAUCUAGAAAAUAUGUCGGAAUUUGGUCGGAAGACCUAGGAGACUACAAUAGAUAAAGAAAAACCAUGAAACUCAAUCUAAAUCUCCCGGCACGUGACAAAGGUCUCCCAAAAAAUGAAAAUGCACUGCCGUUGGCGCGACUUAAUGUUUUUGGUGGUUUUGGUUGGGGUUUUGUCGCUUGAAAAUUUUGAGCCUCUUGAUAGUGUUGGUUUUCGCACAACACUCACAAAUUAGAAGAUGACACAAUCGAUUGUACAGUAGCCGGAAUCUGACUAAAUUUUUCAAAUGUUUCUCACCGAUGCUCUAAUACCAUGCGAGAAAUAAUGGAGAAAAUAUUAUUGAAUUGUGUAUCUAAAUUAUUAUAUUGAAACCCUAUUUAUAGACACUACAUUAGACUCCUUUUUCAACAAGGAUUCUACAUAAUAUCCCUAUUCCUACUCAUAUUCUAAUUGUGUAUCUAAAUUAUUAUAUUGACACCCUAUUUAUAGACACUACAUUAGACUCCUUUUUCAACAAGGAUUCUACAUAAUAUUCCUAUUCCUACUCAUAUUCUAACACCAUUAACAACCAAUACCAUGAAUAACCACCUUGAUUAAUUCUCCGAACACUGGCUGGGAAAACAGCAACACCCAUUUCCGGCCAUCACUGAAACAACUAGUCAUCUACCAAAUGAGCCCCACCAUCAACAAUUGUCGACCUUCACUCAACCAAAUCACCCCAACUCCCGGCAAAUCCCCAUCUCCUUGAAAGUUCGACAAAACAUUAACAGCUCCUUGAAAGUGCCUAUCUCCUUGAAAAGCCAACUGACCCUUCCCUAUUAACAACAAAUGAGACUCGCAGAAAAAAUCAAUUGGGCAGUCUGGCUUUCGCAAUUAAAAAUAAAAACAAAAAACAUGAAAUCAAAGGCAGUUGGCCUACUGGCCAUUUUUGUUGUAAUUAAUUUGGCCAAAGAGCUAGAGUUGGUAACAACUUUGGCCAAAAGGCUAUUUUAGAUAAUUAAUGAUAAGUAGGCUAUUUUUUGUGUAAAAAUUUAAGUCAAGUGAUAUUUAUAUAACUUUCAAGUGAUAUUCAUAUAACUUUCCCCAUUUUUAAUGGGUAGAUGGGCAAGUCAAUAACUAACCCAAACUUGGGCGGUUAGGGGGGUUGGGUUUGAUUUUGCCACCCCUACCUGCCGCCCUCCUAGAUCCGCCCGUAUAUGGUAAUCCCUCUAGGGUAAAGAAGUUAUGAUCUUGAUUGUUGAUACUCCACUUGGCCAAUUUCAUAUUCCCACAAUUGAGAAAGACAUGUUUAAAGUGAAGCAACUAUAAUAGCUUAAGAGCAAUACAUUUUCAUAUUGUAAUGUAUUUAAUUUUAUGUAUUGUCAUCUUGUGGAUGUUUGACAAUGUUAUCACGUGUCGAUUCCAAUGGACAUGGUAUGAAAAACGAGUCCCAUUUGCAUCUUUGCAAAUAUCUGAAGGCCAAUGUGAAAAAUAACCUAAAUGUCAUGGAUUGGGGACUUGAGUAUCUGUUAUUAUAGCUUACUAGCUCGUAUCAAUGGCCAAGAAAGAGGUAGAGUGCUAGCUGGACGCAAUCACCACAGUCUUUCCUAACUGACCAAGACUAUAUUUUUCACCUUGAAUGUGUCAUUUGAAAAGUGAUCUUCAUUUGAUAUUUAAAAAAACCUCUCCACCCGAUUGUAAGAACGGUCACUCUUGCCCAUUGGGGGCGUCUAAAACCCACGUGCAGUUGUAUGGGAACGCCAGUCGUUCUUUGCCGACAGAGGCAAGUGUGCCUAUUAGGGAGAACACCACUGUAAAGGAAGGAAUUGCAUCAAAGUCUUUCUAUAACGUAGGAGCAAACAUCCCGACAACUGUGUGCCUUAAAUUGCCCUCCGAAGAGAAAGCUAGACACUUCUGCCAUAAAGGCAUAUCGAAUAUCAUCUUCAAAGCUUUUGAUUACUAUGGGGUUAUGGCCGAAGAGUGUUGAUUCACUAUCAUCGCAAAAUUUCUCAGAACCUAACCUCAAAUAGAGAAAAGUCGAUUGAAAUUUGCCGAAAAGUCACUAUACGAGAUUACAGUUAAGAUUGGUGUUUAUGAUUUUAAAAGAGUUUCUAUAGAUUGUUUAAACAAGGAAGAUUUCACUAAUGUUUGGUUUACAAGAUCUAUUGAAAUUGAAGGUCAAGUUAUGUGGUUAGAAAAAUGGACUCCCAACUUAAAUGGAUGAGGAUUCUCCCAUUUUCCUGUAUAGGUCUUAUUGCCUGGUUUGUCGUUCCAUUGUCACACUUGGAAUUAUGUCAAACAAAUAGCGAGACCUUUGGGCACAUUGCUAUCUAUGGAUUUGGCCAUGGAUAACAAACUAGACAGAGCAUGGCAAAACUGCGGGUUGAAUAGACCUUACUAAGCCCAAGCUUAAUUCGAUUUGGGUUGGGCUUGGAGGAUGAAGCAGACCUAUUGAAAGGACUUACUCAAAAACAUAAAUAAGAAAAUGUUCCUAAAUUUUGUCGACCCCAUAAGUUGCUGGAACACUCUAUUAAUCAAUGUCAACAUGUUGAUUCUAACAAGAUUCUGAAGGAGAGAAUGUUGGUAUGAAAAAAGGGAAGAUGAUCAAUAGAGAUGUAUCCACAAAGAAGCUGGUAACAGGGGAAAUGCAGUUGAGCAAGGAAAAUCCGAGGAAGAGGCAGGGACAGUCAGUUAAAUGAAGCUACAAAAGGCUUUACCAGAGAAAAAGCUACUGGUUCUAAUACAACGGAUGGCCAACAAGAACUCAUUCAACAGGAAGAUCCUGGAAAAAAUGAAACUGCCACUUCCACCAUUGGAAAGUCAGAUAAAGAACCGAAAAUGAAUAAUCCUGGCAAGAAAAUAGAAGAAGAAGGAAGAGAAUGCUGUAAAAAAAAGAGUAAGGUUGCUGACAAUUUGUAUAAAGAGGUUACUAACAAGUAGAGGAAAAGCAUGAAGCCAUUUCUUCCAUAGAGAACAACAAAGGACUGCUAAUUCCAAAAGAACUAAGCAGACAAAUGAUACUCCUCAAUCAGCUUCCAAAUGAUCAAACCCAAUUUUUGGAAUAUUAGAGGAGUUAGAACCAAGAAAGCCAUUCACAGGCUUAAAUAUUUGAUUCAAAUCAAGAAAGCUCAAUUUGUUGUUAUGUCUGAGCCAUUCAUCAACAAAAAUAAGAUAAGUGUUCUACCAAAGAUUUUUGGGAUUCCACUCUUGUCAUGCCAAUGAAAGUGGUCAGCUAUGAUGUUUUUGGAAGAGAAUUUAUCCAGGGAAGUUUUCUUUAUCAUUCCUAUUUAUGCUAAGUACACUUCAGUCGAGGGAAAAAAAUCUUGGGAAAGUUUGGAACUCAAGGAUAACAUUAUAAUGCUCCUUGGUGUAUAAGUGGCGACUUUAAUGUCAUUACCAAGCCAAGUGAAAAGCCGGUCCAGAUUCAAACACAGAAGCGCGUUUCGCGCCUCAGUCCCCGGUCUGCUGCCAGGUCCAGAAAGGGCAAGAUGAGAUCACUUUGAUGGUAGACAAGGCUCGUUUUGUACUUUACUUACGAGCUUGUGUAUUAUUCACCCCGAUCUCUAAAGGGGCUUAUGCACUCCACUUGCUGUCUACUCAACGAGCGUAAGAGUGAGCAAGUGAAGCCCUCAAUUUAGUGGCUUCCCUCAACCUCCUCUUUCAUUUCCGCUUAAGCUUCUGCGGUUUGUGGGAUUAAUUGAUUGGAUACCCAAGACCCGUAAUCUUUUCUAGGAGGUCAGUGACUUCCUUUUUUGGGUUUAAGGAAUGGAGGUAAACACACAGAAUGCAUAUGAGCAUGAAUUUUAUCAACUGUAUGGAUAAUUGUAGGGCAAGUGAUAUUGGUUUCACUGGCUCUAAGUUUACCUGGUGCAAUAACUGAAGGCCUAGUAAAAUAUGGAAAACAUUGGACAGAGUCUUCAUUAAUGACUUACGGGCUCAAAGGUUCCAGAAAACCUUUGCCAGUUAUCUUGCUAGAAGCCUAGAAUGGUCUCAAACCAAACCCUUAUCGGUCACAUGCCUAGUUGUUUCAGAUUCCUUAAUAUUUGGGUGAACCUAUUACAGACGAAGCUCAAGGAUCGGAGUAGAAGACUAAGUCACUAGUCAAGAUGCCACAUUCUUGACAUCCAUGAACAAAUCAAGGAAUGGGCAGAACAAGUUAAAACUUUUGAAGAAUAAGACACCUUAUACAAUACAGGAUAGGGGAGAGGAGAAGCCAACAAAAUUCAUGUUGAAUACAUAAAUUGGCUUGGCAGGCAUGACUCAAUUCUAAUGCAAAAAGCAAAGUCAAAUGAUUUGGGGGAAGCAGACAGAAUUACCAAUACUUCCAUAGUAUUAUGAGGGAUAACAAGAGGACUUCACAAAGGAUCAAGAAUAGCAGGGGCAGAUGGAUUCAGAAGGAAGGAAAAGUUUCCAAGGCUGCAGUGAAAUACUUUGAGACUAUGUUGCUCAGACUCGGCGAUUAAGCCGUCGUCCCGACGCGACACUGGUGCGGACGCCGGCGUGGGAUUCAUCUGGGAUUCGUCUGGGUUCGGUCAAACGAAUCCGGAGACGUUGACCAACAUCAAGAAGAAAGUUUCCUUCGUUAUCGAAAGGGAGAAACCGGUGAAGGGAGAAAAUCGGCGACUGUGAUUAUUGUUGUCGGCGAAAGGGUUGUCGCCGGCGGAAGGGUUAUCGUCGCUAGAAUUUCGAUGGGGAAGAAAGAGAAAAUGAUAGAAUGCUCAUAUCUGUGAUUGUCGAUUGUCGCCGGCGAAACGGUUGUCUCCAGCGGAAGGGUUAUCAUUGCUGGAAUUUCGAUGUGGUGGUCCUAUUUUUGAAUAAUAAUAUUUUUUAAAAAAAUAAAUUAUAUUAAAAAGUUAAACCUAAUUUAUUUAGAUCUGGUGAGUGCUUGGCUUUUCAAAUGCUACUUCUAAUUAAAAAGAAUUUAUUUUUUCCCAUAUACAAAAAUUACUACUAUUAAUUUAAAAAGUAAGUAAAAGAAAUUACCUUAAAAGUGAAAAAAGUAAAGAAUACUUUUUUAGGAAUAAAAUUUCCUUGACACAUAGGAAAAAGUAAAUUGAAAUGACUGUUUAAAUAUGGAACUAUAUUUAUAAUAUUUAAUUUUUUUAGCCGAAUCCCCGCGCCCGUAUCCAUAAUCAGAUUCGCACCCCCGAAUCUUAAAAAUUAAUUUUUGAUGAAUCCGACUCUCGGAUACGCACCGGUCUCGGAUACCCGCACCCGAGUCCAUGCAACUUAGCUUUGAGAAACUAUUCAACCUCCCUAAUCCAAUUUUCAACUCUAUCGUUCUUGAUUGUAUUCCAUCUCUUAUUACAGAUGAUGAUAACUCUUUACUAAUUAAUCAACCCUCAUAGGAAGAAAUAAAAAAUAUGGCCUUGCAUUUCAAAUCAUGUUUUGAAUCGACCCGCACAUGUGCUGAAGCUUGAGAGUUGGGUUAUUUGAUCCAAGGAUCAGUUAGAAAUUAGUUUGGAGUCACAUAAGCAAGCUACGGGGGAACUAGGGGAGAAAAACCAGUUCAGGGAGGCAAAGCAGAAGCCAGGGUGCCGCCCAGGCCAGGGCACCGUCUUGGCCACCAAACUUUAGAGGGGCAUCAAGGGGUCCUAGCUCCGCAUGCCGUCUUGGACACCAAACUUUAGAGCCUUGAUGAUAACACUUAAAUGCCCAUUAAGCGGUGCAACACACUCAAUAAAUUUACGUCUCACUUCCGGCCUUAAGAAUGCUUUAAGUGCACCUUUAGCGCUACCGAGACCCAGGUUGAAUGGGCUUCUAGCUUAUGACUUUAACUUAAAAGUCAUAAGUUAGGAUUUCUAACUUGUGACUUUUGGUUUAUUUUUGUUAUUUUUUGUCUUAAAAACAAGUGCUUAAAAACAUUUUUUUAAAUCUUAGCCAAACACUAUAAAAGCGUUUAAAUGCUAUAUGGCUUAAAAGCACCUAAAUAAGCGAAUCCAAACAACCUAUAACUCUUUCAAUAUACUUGUUAUAUUUUAAUGUGUAUAAUAUAUCUAGUCUUAUUUUUGUUCUUCACUUGAAGAAGAAUGGAAGAAAUCACAUCAUCUUGGAGAGCAUCAAGAUGUCUUCUUAUAACUUGAGCAUCAAAAAAUAACUUUUGCACCCUACAAGCUAUAUAUAAGCUUUUCACAUGAUAUCUCAUAAUUAGGGGUGUACAUAGGUCGGGUUGGUUCGGUUUUAUCAUGUCGGUUUAUUAAAACUAUAAACCAAAUCAAACCAACAUAAAAUUGAUUUUUUUCGAUUUAGAUUUUAGUUGUUUUUUCCGGUUUUUCGAUUUUUUCGGUUUUUUUUUAUAAUCUUAUGUUUUUACAAUUAUAUUGUGAUUGAAGACUAGACCAAAUGUGUUUUUACUCAUGUGCUAAUAAAAAAUCAUAAUUAUGAAAAGAUGAGGAGCGUUAAACUCUCUUGAAACUAAAAAGUGAGAUGAAGAGUGAAAAGUUUAGGUUUUAAGUUUAUAUAGGGUUUUCAAUCAUUUAAUUAGCAAUUAAUGGACAAACAUUACAACUUAAAGGCCCAAAUCUAAAUAUAUAUCUACAUCUGCUUUUAAAUUAUUGAAAAUUACUAAAACUAGUUGAAAAAGUACUUAAAAAGUAGAUUAUAAUUAAUAUUUUAUCUAUAAAAAAGUUCGAAUAUCAUAUAAUAUAUAUAUAUAUAUAUAUAUACAGAGAGAGAGAGAGAGAGAGAGAAUGCAUAUAUAUAUAGGAUAUGAAUCAAAUAUGUAUUACUCAUAAUUUAGACAUAUUUUUAUAGCUUUACUACAACAACAACAUACCCAGUGUAGUCCUACUAGUGGGGUUCGAGCCUUACCCCUACAUUAUAAAGGUAAAGAGGUUGAUACAGUUGAACUCUCAAGUUGCCCCUUAUCAAAUAUUCCUAAAGCCGUGAAUAGUCUUUCGGAGGAAUAUCAUCUUUUUCUCAAUAGGUCCUUAACAAUAGAAGAGAUUUACAAAGAGAUUAACUCCUUUAAACCUCUAAAAGCUCCCGGUUCGGAUGGACUCCACCCUAUUUUCUUCCAAAAAUUCUGGGAGGACACAAACUUCUCCAGUAUUAGUACAUGUAUAAAAGCUUUUAUCUACAAAACUAUCCAUCUAGAUAUUAAUAAAAUACAUAUAGUCCUUAUUCCAAAAAUUAAUAUUCCUGAGCAAGUUUCACAUUAUAGACCUAUUAGCUUAUGUAACACAGUUUAUAAAUCAAUAACAAAAAUUUUGGUAAAUAGAUUCGCCCAUUCUUUGAUAAAAUCAUAAAUCCUACCCAAUGUAGUUUUAUCCCUAAUAGAAGAGCUUCCGAUAAUGCCAUCAUAGUUCAAGAAGCAAUUCACUCUUUUAAUAACACUAAAGGGAAAUAUGGAAAAAUGAUGAUUAAAAUAGACCUACGAAGGUUUUUGAUGGAAUUGAAUGGUCUUCCAUUCAUUUCUCUCUAAGUAGUCUUAAUUUCCCUAAAGAUAUGAUCAAUCUAAUAAUGGAAUCUAUUACUUCAUCUUCUAUAUCUAUUCUAAUUAAUGGCAGCCCAACAAAGUUCUUCAACCCUACGAAAAGUACUAGGCAAGGAGAUCCUCUAUCACCGUAUUUAUUCAACAUUUGCAUGGAAUCCUUGUCUAGAAUUAUAACCCAAGGUACACUCCAAAAGACUUGGUGUCCUAUAAGAAUUACUCCAUCGUCUCCACAACCUCACAUUUACUCUUUGCAUAUAACUUAAUCCUCUUAGCAAAAAGCUAAAAUUGUCAACACGAAUACUAUUAUAUCAAUAUUCAAAAUAUUUGGAGAUAUGUCAGGCCAAAAAAAUUAAUUACAAUAAAUCGAGAAUUUUUAUUCUCAAAAAACAUGAACCAUAGCACUUCAAAUUCCAUAACCUCUCUAUACAAAUAAAAACCACUCCAGAUUUUGUAUAUAUCAAGACUCAGAUGGAUAAACCCUAAAAAAAAAACAUUACCAAUUUAUAAUUGAUAAAAUGAACAACAAAUUGAACGGAUAGAAAGCAAAGUUUCUUUCACUUGCUGAAAUAACCACAUUCAUCAAAUCAGUACUUAAUUCAAUACCUACAUAUGCUAUGCAAAUCAACCUAUUACCAAAGAAUAGCAUUAACAUAUGGAUCGUAUCCAAAAAAAAUUCCUAUGGGGUUCAUCAGAUGAAAAAAGAAAAAUUCACCUUGUUAACCGGGACACAGCCACACUUCCUAAGAGUCGGGGAAUCAUAUGGGAAAAAUUCAGUUUUAAUCUCUAGCCUCAAUUGGCGGCUCAUGAAAAAUAAAUCUCACCUUUGGGUAAAGAUCUUACAAAAUAAGUACAGAAAUAGAUUCAUAAACAACGCUAUUACCUAUAAAUCAAAUGACUCCUACAUUUGGAAGAACUUGAGUAAAAAUAGUGAAUAUAGGAGAUGGAACAAACAUAAAUCUUUGGAUGGAUAGAUGGCUCUACACUAAUAAUAAUUUGAGAGAACUCAUUCAAACACCACUAUCAAUGGAAGAUUUAAACCAUAAAGUAGAUCAAAUAUUGAUUUUUGGAAGAGCACUGGCGGGGCAUCUUUGGAGUAGCUGACCAGAUUGUUUAACAUCAUUUUUAGGGUGGCAAAGAUGCCCGAAGUGUGGAGAUGGAGUACAAUGAUUCCUUUAUAUAAGAACAAGGGGGACAUUCAGAGUUGCAACUUGCAACAACUACAGGGGUAUCAAGUUGUUGAGUCAUACUAUGAAGGUCUAGGAAAGGGUGGUAGAGUUGAGCCUGAGGAGGAUCGUGACUAUUUCCGAGAAUCAGUUUAGUUUCGUGCUAGGUCGCUCGACUACCAAGGCCAUUCACCUCGUGAGGAGAUUAGUAGAGCAGUUUAGGAAGAGAAAGGACUGCACAUGCUGUUUAUCGAUCUUGAGAAGGCGUAUGACAGAGUUCCCAGGGAGAUUCUACGGAGGUGCUUAGAGGCUAGAGGGGUGUCCAGGGAGUACACUAGGUCGAUCCAGGAGAUGUACGACGGUACGAAGACUCGGGUGAGGACGGCAGGAGAAGAUUCAGAGCACUUUCCGAUUUUGACAAGGUUGCACCAGGGAUCGACUCUUAGCCCAUUUUUAUUUGACUUGGUGAUGGAUGUUUUAACGCAGCGUAUUCAAGGGAAGAUGCCUUGGUGUAUGUUAUUUGUUGUUGAUGCUGUAAUGAUUGAUGAGACUCUAGGAGGAGUUAAUGAUAAGUUGGAGCCUGGGACACAAACCCUUGAGUUUAAAUGAUUUAGGUUGAGCAGGACUAAGACGGAGUAUUUGGAAUAUAAGUUUAGUGAUUUGUCGCACGAGGCGAACGUGGUAGUGAAACUUGAUUCCUAGGUCGUUCAAAAGAGUGAGAGUUUCGAAUAUCUUGGGUAUGUGAUUCAAAGGAAUAGGGAAAUUGAUGAGGAUGUCACGCACCAUAUUAGUGCAGGGUGGUUGAAAUGAAGGAUCGCUUCGGGAGUUUUGUGUGAUAAGAAGGUGCCUCUUAAACUCAAAGAGAAGUUCAAUGGAGUCGUAGUCCGACCGGCUAUGUUGUAUGGGGCGAAGUGCUGGCCAGUUAAGAACUCCCGCAUCCAGAAGUUGAAGGUAGCAAAGAUGAGGAUGUUGCAAUGGAUGUGUGGACUUACAAGGAGGGAUGGGGUUAGAAAUGAAAUUAUACGGAAGAAUAUGGGAGUGGCUUCAGUAGAGGACAAAAUGCGGAAAGUGAGGUUGUAAUGGUUCGGUCAUGCGAUGAGAAAGGACACGAAUGCUCCAGUACGGAGGUGUGAGAGGCUGGCUAUAGAUAGUUUUAGGCGGGGUAGAGGUAGGCCAAAGAAGUAUUGGAGGGAGGUGAUUAGACAUGACAUGGAGCAGUUACAGUUUACAAAGUACAUGACCUUUGAUAGUAAGGUGUGGAGGAUGCGGAUUACGGUAAAUGGUUAGUGUGUAGGAGACGCCUGUGGUAGUAGGGAAGAGUGGUUUGUUUGCAGUUGUGACUGUAGAUUCUUGUAGUCUCUUGUUCGUGGGGUAUUAGGGAUAUCUAUGUUUUUUAGAUAGACAUUUUAUAGUAUUACCUUGUGCGUGUCUUGUUUCUGUUAUUAUCCUUUACUAUCUAGCGGUGUGAUAUCCCUUGUUAUUGCUUGCUUUUAUGUGUUUUGUUUGUUAUAUUGUUAUCUUUCCUGACCCAGGGGUCUAUCGAAAACAACCUCUAUACUAUAUCUGAGGUAGUGGUAUAGACUACGUACACUUUAUCCUCCCCAAACCCCACUUGACAGGAAUAAACUGGGUAUGUUGUUGUUGUUGAACAUGGAACCGAUCAACCAUCUCCACUCAGCUACCUCCAGGUAUAAUAGAGAUCAUAAAUAACACAUACAUCAAACUCAAAUCCAAGAUCAGAUUCCUUUUUUUGGAACACUUCGUCUAAAAGGAAUUUUUCAUCAAAAGAUGCUUACAUAAUCUCCAUAAAAUCUUUAGACAUCAUGAACUAUAAAAGUACCUUCUUUGACCACUGGAUAUGGAGAAUAAAUGCAAGCAAUAAAAUAAAACAUGUUAUGUGGCUUCUCAUAUCAAACAAACUGCCAACGGCUGACAAUCUUCAUGGAAGACAUAUUAUUAGUUCUAAUACAUGUUCAUGUACAAACACUGGAAAAUACUAAAACAUACCUUCCUUCUGUGCCUAAAGGCAAAAAGAAUUUGGGAUCACUUUAAUUUCAUCCCCUCAAAUGACCACUCGAUUAGAGAUAUUAAAAACUAUUGUGUAUCGAAAAAUUUAACCAAAUUAAGUAGUACUCCCUCUAUUUCAGAAAGAAAGACCUGCUUUCCUUUUUAGUCCGUUUAAAAAAAAAAGGCUCAUUUCUUUUUUGGCAAUACUUUAAUUUUAACUUUCCACAUGGUAAGGCCACAAGAUUAAGGGUGUGUUUGGUAUGAUGGAAAAUGUUUUCUGGAAAAUGUUUUCCAACUUUUCCUUGUUUGGUUGUAAUGAAAUGUUGGGAAAAUAUUUUCCACAACAACAUAUUUUCCUCCAUUUGAUGGAAAAUGAAAAUGACAAAUGAGACUUAUGACCCCACCCCCAUCCCUUUUCCCCACCUUAACAACACUCAUAUUCACAUGACUCAAAAAAUUUACAUUACUCGAAAAUAUUUUUCACUGUGCUUUACUUUAAUUAGGUGGGAAUACACUGGGUUUGUUGUUGUUGUUGAAAUAAAAAAAAGUGAAACCCAAAUUUUUUCCAUUUCCAAUGUUCGUUGAAUGUAUUGUUAUUUUCAUAUUCAUAGAGAAAGACUUACCUAUAUUACUAUUGCUAAUUGCAUAUUUCAACUUGUCAUCGAUGUAACUUGUUUCACGAGGUUGAAUAAGCUUGUCGUUCCGUUAUAUUUCUAUUGAUUGUAGUAUCUUGAGAUUAUCCUGACAAAAUGUUAAAAAAUAUCUCCUAUAUUUGCUAAUUAAUAGUUGCUUAAAUUUAGUGAUUGUAGUACUUUAGAAUUCGAUAUUGAUAUUAUUUGUUAUGCUUAAAUUAUUUCUUACAAAUUGUUGAGUUGUUAGAGGCACUGAUAUACUAGUUAACAAUUAAUAGUAGUAUGUUCUAAAAAAUAUUUUUUCACUCACCAAUCAAACAUUAGAAAAUAUUUUUCUAAAAAAUAUUCUCUACUCACCAACCAAACACCAUAAAAUAUUUUUCGAAAAAUAUACUUCACUCACCAACCAAACAUGAGAAAAUUAGAAAACCAACUUAUUUUCCAAGAAAACAUUUUCCAUCUACCAAACACAUCCUAAAGGAAAUUUGGUACAUUUGACACAACUUUAGUUUAAGGCCACAAAAUCCAAAAGCCUUCUAUAUUUUCUUAAACUCCGUGUCAAAUCAAAAUAGGUCAUUCUUUUUUAAACGGAGGGAGUAAUAUCUUUGUACCAUUGUCAACUAUCACUCCACUUAUUCUUCGGACCAUUUGGAGAAACCGUAACACAAUCAUUUUCAACAACUCGUCAGCACUAAUCUCUCCAAAAUUGAUUGAAAUUCAAGCUAUUGAAUAUUAUCACUUAGGCCUAUCUAAGAUCUCAAAUAAUACUAGCUGAACCUCUAAGUUAGUUAAAUGAGAACCCCCACCCUAAGUUACUCGGACUCUUCACUUUCAGUGUCGCACCCAUGUCGACACGACAUGGGUGUGGGUGUGGGAUCCGUACCUGUUCUGGUCAACCGAUUUUGGGUACUUUGACCAAAAUCGACUGGAAAAGUCCAGACAGAUUUAAGAAAUUUUGUAAUCAAAACAAAAGCUAAGGUGACAUUGAAGAAAAUGGAAUACCUUGUACAUAAAAAUUUCUAUGUUAUUGCUUUUCUUUUUAUCUCCUUCCAAGAUUUUCUUCUUGAACAAUAUUUUUUCCUCAAUUUUUUCAUGUAAUAACUCAUAAUUUAUGUUUUAUAACUCUAUUUUUAGAUAUUUAUAUAAUUUUUUGUCGAAUCCCCGCACCCAUAUCCAUUCCUAGAUCCAUAUCCCCGUAUCUUGAAAUUGAGACCGUGAAGGAUCCGACCUCUAGAUCCGUACCCGUAUCGAACACCCGCACCCGAGUCUGAGCAACUUAGCCCCCACCAAUGGGCUUCUUUAAACUAAAUAUGGAUGGUGCUUUUGAUGAUUAAAAUAAAAAUGGUGGAACAGGAGGAGCGAAUCGGAAUCAUAACGGAAAUUGAAUUUCUGGUUUUGCUCACUUUCAAAAGGCAAUAUCAACACUCCAUAUGAAAAUGUUAGCCAUUCUACUUGGGCUGAAGUUGGUUGUUGGUUGUGGGAAAGAAUUUAACUCCUAUAAUGUCUCCACUCAUAGGUACUUGUACAAAUGCUAAAAGAUAAUAGCCGGAGUUUCUCAAAUCUAUUAUUGGAUUGCAGGUCACUCAUCGCGGAUCUAGAUGAACCUCAAAUUCGCCAUGCCUACUGGGAGACAAAUGUUAUGGAAAAUAAACUUGUUGUGUUUGGAAAGCGCCAAAGUCAAAGAAUGCAAAACGAUGUUGUAACAUUUGAUUCCCCGUCCCCCUUUAUUUUGCAAGAACCAUUUGGAACUUCCAGAUAGUUCCUUGUGUGUAAUAAACUCUAUGUUUUGAUUCAAUAAAUCAUCAUUCCGAAGCAAAAAAAAAAAAAUGAUGCCUUAACAAUCACACAACUACAUUAUUAUCAAAACUUUAUAUCCAAGAACAAACAUCAAGAAUCCCCAAUUUCCCCAAUUUCCCGGGAAAUGAUUUCCUAUGACAUGAAAAUCUAACACUUCUACCGCAAUACAAAAUCGAUAUCUCUGUAUUAGUACCUAUUGUAGUAAGUGUUGUAAAUGGAUAUGAAGAUGUAAAACAAAAGUCUUACAUAAACGACAACUUAAAGCGAUGACACAACAAUUUUACAAUGAAAAUUUUAUAUUGAAAAAAUAUAUUAUAUCCUUUACUUCCUGGGACAUCGAUCACUGUUUCGGACAUGAAAAUUCUAACAUCUGUCGUCACUUCCACACGUGACAAAUAACUCCAUAGUAGUACCUGUAAGACUUAAGCUAUUCACACGAUGAUGUGGCCUGGAUACUUUUGUAACAAUUUCACUCAUAGUUUAUGAUUCUUCUAUACAGGUUGUUGAAAAUAUGUCAGAAAUAAAGUAAAAGCAAAUAAUUAUUAGUAGUUUUAAAUUGUUAGAGUUUUAUGUGGAUUAGACUUAGAAUUAGUUAUCCCUUUUUUAUUUGAAUUAGGAAUUAGUUAUCAUUAUUUGAAUUGAAGUCUAGUUAGAAAUUUAAAUAUAAAUAUAUGUCUUUGAGUUAUUAAUAAAAUAAUUCCCUUUGAUAAUACAAUUGCAGUAUCUUUUCUCUCCAAGUCUCUCUUUGUUAUUUCUUUAAUUUCAAAGCCAAAAACCAACAAUUGGUAUCUAGAGACAAUUUUCUUGAAGGAUCUGUGAGAGAGAUGAAUUCUGAAAACAACUUCUCCCAAACAGCUGCUCCUAUCUUUGAUGGUGAGAAUUACCAUCUUUGGGCAGUAAGAAUGGAGACUUAUCUUGAGGCCUUAGAUCUUUGGGAGGCCGUGGAGGAGGAUUAUGAUGUUCUUCCGCUGCCCGAUAAUGCCACGGUGGCCCAGAUCAAAAGCCAAAAGGAAAAAAAAUAAGAAAAUCAAAGGCAAAAGUAACUUUGUUUGCUAGUGUGUCUCCAACAAUUUUCACGAGAAUUAUGGCCCUUAAAUCAGCAAAAGAAUACACAGGAGAUGGAAGAAUAAAGGCAUGAAGGUGUUGAAUCUAAUAAGGAAAUUCGAAUUGCAAAAGAUGAAGGAAUCUGAGACCGUUAAAAAGUACUCAGUCCGACUUCUUGACAUUGUUAACAAGGUACGAUUGCUUGACACAAAAUUUAAAGAUUCAAGAAUUAUUGAAAAAGUUCUUGUUAUGGUGCCUGAAAGAUAUGAAGUAUCAAUAACUACCUUGGAAAACACAAAAGACCUAUCCAACAUUACCUUGGCAGAAUUGCUAAAUACAUUGUAGGCACAAGAGCAAAGAAGGCUUAUGAGACAAGAUGGUAUGGUUGAAGGAGCUUUGACAACUAACCACAAGACUCAAAGCAAGGGUAAUAAUUCAAAAAAAAACUACCCACCUUGUCAGCACUGUGGAAAAAUAGGCCAUUCUCCAUUUAAAUGUUGGAAGAAACUAGAUACACAAUGCAAGAUCUGCAUUCAACUUGGCCAUAAAGCCGUGAUUUGCAAAAACAAAUCUAAAAAAUAAAAAGCAGAUGCCCAAGUCACCAAAGAAGAAGAAGAAGAUCACUUAUUUGUGGCAACAUAUUCUUCAACCAAGAAACCUGAUUUUUGGAUGAUUAACCGUGGUUGUACAAACUACAUGACAUAUGACAAAACUCUUUUUAAAAAGUUUCUGCCUUUGGAGAAUAAGAAAAUCAAAACUAGGAAUGGUGACUAUAUUCCUGCAGAAGGAAAAGAGAAUGUUGCAAUCUAAACAAUUUCAGGUACAAAAAUAAUUUCAAAUGUCCUUUAUGUGCCCGAUGUUGAUAAAAGUUUGUUAAGUAUUGGUCAGCCAAUGGAAGAAGGAUUUAAACUAUUGUUUGGAGAUAAAUAUUGUUGAAUCUUUGAUUCCACUAAUCAUGAGAUUUUACAAGUUGAUAUGAGAGGCAAAACUUUCUUAUUUAAUCCAACAGAAGAUGCAACAAACCUUGCAAGACCAAAGAUGAAUUGGUAGAUCUAUUCAAGAGGUUAAAAUCAACUGAGACUGCA
RNAcentral lists this long non-coding RNA (29628 nucleotides) under Capsicum annuum. RNAcentral's name for it is "long non-coding RNA (CANN_LNC012715)". The record is from RNAcentral. Lineage: Eukaryota; Viridiplantae; Streptophyta; Magnoliopsida; Solanales; Solanaceae.